This is a long non-coding RNA of Rhinichthys klamathensis goyatoka, 439 nucleotides long. RefSeq lists it as uncharacterized. The transcript has 2 exons. Lineage: Eukaryota; Metazoa; Chordata; Actinopteri; Cypriniformes; Leuciscidae. The record is from RefSeq and is a predicted model, not a curated record.
CACUAGUGUCUGUCAUUCACAGAAAUCUCAGAGACGAUUAUGCUGAUACACGUGUGGAUGGGUGGCAAUGCUGUUAGUACUUAACCAACACAAAGAACAGCAAUGCUAAUGCUAAAGAGCUACUGACAUCAAACAAACCAAUCACAGAAGAUCAACGAGACAGAGCAGGAUUAUUAGAGAAUAAACAAACUUUAUUUUGAAGAGUGUUACACAAUGGGUUGGGUGGGGCAUAAAAACAUGACAGAUCAUUCAAAGCUGCUUAAAAAAAGAACAAGAGAGAGUCAAUCCUACGAUGAACUGCUAUACACAGGAGAGAGAGAGAGACAUUAGCACUGGCAGUUUGGUCGCGUUUGAUCAUUUCAUCAAAAGUAUCGGAAAGAGAUUAAAAAGAUUUAAAAGGGCAAACAGGCCGACUUCCUCAAAAUCAUCAGAUUAAAAA